Molecule: long non-coding RNA, 1866 nt
Filed under: Lathyrus oleraceus (garden pea)
Lineage: Eukaryota; Viridiplantae; Streptophyta; Magnoliopsida; Fabales; Fabaceae
Description: Pisum sativum (pea) long non-coding RNA (PSAT_LNC021371)
Source: RNAcentral
UAAAACAAUAAAAAUUAAUAAAUGAAUAAAAGAGAAAUAUGAAUAGAAAAAGAGGCAAUCCAGCUGAUAUAGGGUCUUCCAAGCCAAAUGAAAGCGCAGGCCCACAUGAGGGCCGAAUGUUCACUUGUAGCCUUUGUCGGUGUCGGAGGCUUAAACACACCAAGCUGUAGCUCAAACUAACCAUCUUGUUCCCCUCUUUCUAAGCCCUAUGCUAAUUCCUUCCAAUUUUACACUAAUCAUCCAAAUAGGAGAGAUCAGUAGAUUAACCCUAAGUUACACAUCAAACAAUUAAAUAUUGUAGAGAGGGAAUUAAAGGCAGCACAAUUAGGGCUUUAAUCCCUAGGACCAAUAACAUUGCGCUAACGAUUAUUGGUCCAUAAGAGAAGAAUUAACCAACCUUUGAGACGAAGGUGUGUCCCGACAUUUGUUGCAACUAAGAAGACAAUGAUGAAACUGAAAUUGCAAAGCUUCCAAGAGGUAAUUGCUCUUACUCUUCUUCCUUCUCUAUCUUCUUCUCCUCCUCCUAUAGGUAUGAUUGUGGAUGUUGUUCUCUUCUUGAAUGCGUGAAUAUGGUUUUUAGAGAUUGAGAGAUUGAAUUUGAGAGACGUUGAGAGUGUUUGAAGCUUAAGCUCAACCAAUUGAAGCUUCCACAUGAAGCUUCAAUGGGCGUGUGAUGGAGCUUUGGUAAGGGUGAGGUCAGAGAGAGAGAGAGAGUGAAGAUGAAUGAUAUUGAGAGGAUGGUUAUGAGAAUCUAGAAAAAUGAUGGUCCCUUGAUGAGUGAGGAUGAAUGAGGUAUAAAUAAACUUAAAUGUUAACAGAGUCUUGGCUUUGUUAAUUGUUGUAGUUCAAAUCAGUUACAAGAUUAACUUUUGUUAGUCAUCUAUUAGAAUUCGGUUAGUAGGUUAGUUAUUGUUAAACUUAUGUUAGUGAGUCAGUUGAGUUUGAAAAGUUUGUUAGGUAUGUUAUGAGUUUGAUGAAAUUCGAUUAUGGUUGUUGUGAAUGGUUGAAAUGGUUAGUAAACUAUGUUAGUUAAUUAUUGCAGUUCAGUUUUCUAUUAUGUGUAUUCGGUAGUUAGUGAAUAUGAUAAUUUAAAAUGUGGUUCAGUUAGUUUUGCUUGAUUAAGUGAAUGCAAGUUGUUAGUUAGGGUGCAAAAAUUUUAUUGUGUAUGGAAUGCUUGGGCUGCUGCUGAUUGCUUGUGAAUAGGCUGCUAUGAUGAAUGUUAGAUGCAUUGUUAUGUAUGUAUGUGAUGUUUUUGAUUAUGGCCUGCUUUUAUGCUAGAUGGAUGCAUUAUUGUUGAUGCAUUGUGUUGUGAACAUGAUAUCAUGGUUGUUUAGAUAUUAUGUUGUAUGCUAGUGUAUAUGCUAAUGUAUGUUAACUAUGUUUGGUAUGCUAGGUCUGGAAGGUGAAUGAUUGAAUGCCUUGAUUGUUAUUUGCUGUAGGUUUGAAACAUGAUUGCUGAGCUUAGUGUAUUGCAUGGCAUGGUCGGCUAUUGGUUUGUUGCAGGUUUUGACGUGGGUUGCUUAGAAUGAAUGCAUUUGAAUGUAAUGCUUAUGUGUAUCAAUAUUGGUUCUUGAUGAGAAUGUAUGAAGAUGAAAAGAGGAAAUGGAGGAAAUUGGAAUCAACAUAAGGCUGAAAGAGAUUAAGUAUUAGGGUUCAGAAAAAUAUGUAAGUUGACUUGGGUCAAGGUUGACCAAAAAGUAAAUUGUUGACUAAAGUCAACUUUAUGGUCAAAGUGAUAUUUUUUUGUAAUUUUAUUUGUAAAAUGAUAUAAUGAAUGUACAUUUGUAUAUAAAAAUGGUUCUUUUAUAUCAAUGAAAAGAAAGCCUUAAUUUCAAAUGACAUUUUCCCACCAAAUUCACAUAUGAA